GCGCUUUUCACAGAAAUAACUAAUAUAAUACGAUCUGAUCAUGGCAAUUAAUUAAUAACAUUGGUAUCAAUCCUUGAAUUCACUUUCAAUAUUCUGCAUGCUUUUCAGCUGGAGACUGAAGGGCAAAGUUUUAAGGCCAUUCAAGACCUGUGGAAUUCUGCUGCUGCAGGUGCUGGAAAUAGCAACUUCUCUGUUCAUCCUUCUCAUGACAGUCCCAUGAACUGUGACCCGGAACCUGCUCUACAAAUUGGGUACGUACAUACAAAAAAUAAAAAAAAUUUAAUCCAGGUCGAUGAUAAAAUACAUAGACAUUAAUAAGGCCUGUGGUGUUAGUGCAGGUACCUGAAUUAUCUUCCAUCUGAAGGGUCUUCAGUGCCAAAGAAUACGGUUGGUGAGACCAACUUCAUCCAAGGAUGGGUCCUUUGAGUAGAGCAUUGAGAU
This 441-nucleotide long non-coding RNA is filed under the name Citrus sinensis (sweet orange). RNAcentral's name for it is "long non-coding RNA (CSIN_LNC004093)". The record is from RNAcentral. Lineage: Eukaryota; Viridiplantae; Streptophyta; Magnoliopsida; Sapindales; Rutaceae.